This 676-nucleotide long non-coding RNA is filed under the name Mytilus galloprovincialis (Mediterranean mussel). The record is from RNAcentral. Lineage: Eukaryota; Metazoa; Mollusca; Bivalvia; Mytilida; Mytilidae.
CGAUAUACUAAUUAUUUUGCAUGUAUUAUCAAUAUAUUUUGUAUACUUCUCUCUAUAUACUCAUUUAUCACUAUGUAGUUAUAGAACUAUCUAAGGCCGAUCUUAGGUAAAAUAGAUUUGUUUUACAUGCUUAGGCUGUCAAAAUAAUAUAAGAACACUACAAAUCAAGUCUUACGACAGAUGCGCGUUUCACCUACUUAAACACAGCUUUCGAAUAAAAAAGUGGAAGGUCAUAUGAACUUCGAAGUUCAAGGGCUUUGAAAACAUAACAAUUAGAAAAAACAGGUAUAUUCUGAGUCAUGAUAUUCAAGCUGUACAAAAGAGGGACGAAAGAUACCAAAGGGACAGUCAAAUUCAUAAAUCGAAAAUAAACUAACAACGCCAUGGCCAAAAAUGAAUAAAAAAAACAAACAGACAAAAAAAGCACACACAACAUAGAAAACUAAAUAAUAUGCAACACGAACUCCAUAAAAAAAACUAGGGUGAUCUCAGAUGCUCUGGAAGGGUAAGCAGAUCCUGCUCCAAAUGUGGCACCCGUCGUGUUGCUUAUGUUAUAACAAAUCCGGUAGAUAAUUCGGUAGGUCACAUUCCUGAAAGUGAAGGGGAUUGUAGUUACGAUGUAAAGAACAUAUCCGAUAUCAUUUGUGAAAAGGUUAUUCCAUAACGGUCAACCAAC